GAUGAAGAACGUAGCGAAAUGCGAUAAGUAAUGCGAAUUGCAGAAUCCGUGAGUCAUCGAGUCUUUGAACGCACAUUGCGCCCCCUGGUAUUCCGGGGGGCAUGCCUGUCCGAGCGUCAUUGCUGCCCUCAAGCACGGCUUGUGUGUUGGGCCUCCGUCCUCCUCCCGGGGGACGGGCCCGAAAGGCAGCGGCGGCACCGCGUCCGGUCCUCGAGCGUAUGGGGCUUCGUCACCCGCUCUUGUAGGCCCGGCCGGCGCUUGCCGACACAUCAAUCUUUUUUCCAGGUUGACCUCGGAUCAGGUAGGGAUACCCGCUGAACUUAAGCAUAUCAAUAAGCGGAGGA
Molecule: unclassified non-coding RNA, 344 nt
Filed under: soil metagenome
Description: partial contains 5.8S ribosomal RNA, internal transcribed spacer 2, and large subunit ribosomal RNA
Rfam family: 5.8S ribosomal RNA (bases 1-119)
Source: RNAcentral